Molecule: long non-coding RNA, 383 nt
Organism: Leopardus geoffroyi (Geoffroy's cat)
Lineage: Eukaryota; Metazoa; Chordata; Mammalia; Carnivora; Felidae
Exons: 3
Source: RefSeq, a predicted model, not a curated record
UCACCAAAGGAGCAGCACGACGCAGCCCCUGGAGGCCGUGGUCUAAAGGAGAGCAUUUCUCGGGCUCUUAACACGUCUUUCAAAGAAGAAAGAAGAAGGAGACAUUCAGACAUUGACGUCAUCAUACCUGCGUCACACUGUCCCCAAACACUUGCUCCGAUGAGACUCUUCCCCAGGCGUGCUCCAUGUCACAUACGUUGAGAGGAAGGAUCGGGAAAAAGCCUUCUGAGGUCAAAAACUCUGAGGGGGCCUCCUAUGCUAACUCUCUUCUGGAAAGUGGCUUCAGCAAAACAACGUGGUCGCUGCCAACUUACAUUCGGGAGAACCCGUCACCGAACGGAGCAGGGCUGCCUCACCGACAUCCACCGAGCGGAGAAUCUCCG